This 248-nucleotide ribosomal RNA is filed under the name uncultured Mesorhizobium sp. Its description in RNAcentral is "partial 16S ribosomal RNA". It matches the Rfam family "Bacterial small subunit ribosomal RNA", at positions 88 to 355 of the family's 1533-position model. The record is from RNAcentral. Lineage: Bacteria; Pseudomonadati; Pseudomonadota; Alphaproteobacteria; Hyphomicrobiales; Phyllobacteriaceae.
AAUACGAGCGGCAGACGGGUGAGUAACGCGUGGGAAUCUACCCAUCUCUACGGAACAACUCCGGGAAACUGGAGCUAAUACCGUAUACGUCCUUUGGAGAAAGAUUAUCGGAGAUGGAUGAGCCCGCGUUGGAUUAGCUAGUUGGUGGGGUAAUGGCCUACCAAGGCGACGAUCCAUAGCUGGUCUGAGAGGAUGAUCAGCCACAUGGGACUGAGACACGGCCCAGACUCCUACGGGAGGCAGCAGCU